Non-coding RNA from Cyanistes caeruleus (blue tit), 1836 nucleotides. NCBI's taxonomy places the organism in Eukaryota, Metazoa, Chordata, Aves, Passeriformes, Paridae. The record is from RefSeq and is a predicted model, not a curated record.
AGAGAAGGGUUUCCUGUUGUCAUCCAGUCUGCCUCUGCUGCCUUCCAGGAGCUCAUAAAACAAUUAUUGUCCCACUGCAUUGUCCCCUCAGCUAUGGAUGCAAGCGGCUGAUGAGAUUGAUUACUUCCACAAUACCCAAUUAACCCACUCACUCUGCAAACGAUUGACUUAAUCAAAGGCAAUUAGUGCUUGAAUGGCUAGAGCAGACAGAAAGCCAGGAUUUAGUGGAUGAUUCAGAUGACAUUGUACAGACAUCUCCUUGGCCUUCUAAGGGAAAACAUCUUCACUAGUGCUCAGCUCAGAGCUGGAAGUAGAUGAAACCUCAGGGCCUGGAGCACCGAGCAGCUGACCAGACCUCAAUGUCCAAGAGGGUCCUGGAAAGGUCACUUGCCUCUGAUAGAUCCAGCUCUCUGAGCAAAGCCAACGCUGUUCUACAAAACCACCUUCAAUAUUGAUUUCUUCCACAGCAACUUCUCCCACAAUUUAAAAAAAAACAAAACAACAAAAACCACUCCAAAAGACUCAGUUUGGAGGCAGGACCACAUCUCUGUAGAAAUACAGGUGUCAGUGUCCUCAGGGACUGAUUUAUCUCUAGACAAAUCACCCCAAACUGGCACAGCAGAGACCAGACAAAGCCUCACCACAGGAAGGUGAAGAAGAGCAAACCCAUGACACCAAGCAGAGGACAGAGACCAUUUUAGAUCAUGUAAGGAACAACUUCAAGGCUGAAGCUACACAUGGAAAACCAAUUCUCCAGAUCACUGCAGAAAGAUAUUGUCAUCUUGCUUCAUCCUGAUUUUGUAGUGGAAAAGGAUGCUCCCCAGCUGGGAUCAACAUGGAAAAUGGAGCCAAAUGCACCAUCUCUAUGGAAGGGUCACAGGGCUGGGCUUAACUACACAUCAGACCCUGAGGCUGACAGAGAGGAGAUGAGGUCUGUCCCACCCUCACAGGCACAUGGAAUUUAAAUGCAAGGUCCAUCCCUGGGUUUCCAGUCCCACUUAAUUGUGAAUACACUUGCCUUGGUGUCUCACAGCCGAAAAUCCAAACUGCUUCUAAGCAAAGCCCCAGUAAUAAAGCUGAAAUCCAUUAAGCCUGUGAUGUUUGCCGCUAUUUAAAUCUGAUUAAAAUUGUACAUGACACCACUAAGCCAAACAGUCAGAAAACACUCCUGUCAAGUCUGAUGUUUCUCCACUUAAUCCAGACCCCCCUUCUUUCACCGGGUUGUCAGCUGAAAGGAGCCAUAACAAGAGAUCAUGUACCUAAUCCAGCUUCCUAAGCUGUUUUUAACUGGUUUCUUUAAUCACAUGUUAUGAUUCCCUGCGGAGCAGCUCUCAGGUGACAUUAGCACAGUCACUCAUACUCCAGGGGGAUCUCAGGUGGGAUCACCUUGCUCCUUGUGGUCCUGGAGUGCAGCAGGAAUGAGACACACACAGGAGCCUCUGCAGAGCCUGGGAAGCCACCAGUGGGAUAAACAAUGGGGAAUCACAGCAGCAGGGGGUGACAGCCACAGGUGAGCAGCUGCAGGGUAAGAUAGUGCAAAGGACUCUCAUCAGAGAAGCAGCUUCUUUUGGUAGAGUGAUAUUGAUCUCCCAGUGAGCACUCACCUCUGAAAAUGCUGUGUGGGAACAAGUAUCAGGCAAAAACACCAAAUUAUACAAUUCCCAAGUCCUCACCUGAUGCUGCAGGCAUAUCAGGUUUGAUAAAGAAGGCAGCCACAUCCUCCCUUUUAUCAGUUUAUCUUAUAAUUGACCAUCAAUACAGUACAACUUCCGUGGUAACUUAAUUAUUGAGCAAGUGUUUACAUAUUAAAGAUAAGACCACAGCUGGCUGCUGCAA